This 321-nucleotide long non-coding RNA is filed under the name Brassica napus (rape). RNAcentral describes it as "long non-coding RNA (BNAP_LNC014103)". Lineage: Eukaryota; Viridiplantae; Streptophyta; Magnoliopsida; Brassicales; Brassicaceae. The record is from RNAcentral.
AUCCGGAACAGCGGCCAAGCUAGCAACGGCCUCGCAGUCUUUCUCCAUCUCCUUCAGAUGAACGAUCUCGUCUUCCACAACCAGCCCUUCAUCUUUGAUCUCAUUCAGCAGAUCGAGAUUGGCAACCACCUCAUGGAGUUGAAUCUCAGUAGACACUUCCUUCUUCUUGUCAACUCAUUUCUUCUCCAAAGAAGUUAGGACCUCACGGAAGCCGUUAGUAAUUUCACGACGAGCGACGCUAGAACCCCUACGGAUAUCUCGGUCACGAUCGGUCUCGAGCUCCACGAUCUUGGUCCUGAGGGCAGCGACAUCUGUCUCAAA